RNAcentral lists this non-coding RNA (30 nucleotides) under Cricetulus griseus (Chinese hamster). Lineage: Eukaryota; Metazoa; Chordata; Mammalia; Rodentia; Cricetidae. The record is from RNAcentral.
AUGUGGGCUUUGGUGAGUUUGUAGUUCUGC